This 253-nucleotide ribosomal RNA is filed under the name uncultured bacterium. RNAcentral's name for it is "partial 16S ribosomal RNA". It matches the Rfam family "Bacterial small subunit ribosomal RNA", at positions 524 to 776 of the family's 1533-position model. The record is from RNAcentral. RNAcentral also lists the same sequence under 1 other name.
UACAGAGGGGGCGAGCGUUGUUCGGAAUUACUGGGCGUAAAGGGCGCGUAGGCGGCCACCUCAGUCGGACGUGAAAUCCCCGGGCUCAACCCGGGAACUGCGUCCGAUACUGGGUGGCUAGAGUCCGGGAGAGGGAAGUGGAAUUCCAGGUGUAGCGGUGAAAUGCGUAGAUAUCUGGAGGAACACCGGUGGCGAAGGCGGCUUCCUGGACCGGUACUGACGCUGAGGCGCGAAAGCCAGGGGAGCAAACGGG